This 1040-nucleotide long non-coding RNA is filed under the name Mus spicilegus (steppe mouse). RNAcentral describes it as "lncRNA (ENSMSIG00000017140.1)". The record is from RNAcentral. Lineage: Eukaryota; Metazoa; Chordata; Mammalia; Rodentia; Muridae.
GCUGUUGCUAGCCCAGGCACUCCCAGCUCUGUCAUAAGGCCAUGGGCAUGAUGUCACCCCUGCCUCCCUCUGACCACCUGUACUAAUCCUUUGAGUCAGACUGGAUCCCACUCCCAGUCUACUUGAGGGCCAGGGAGCAAGAUCACAGGUGCUCAGAGAACUGUCACAGUCUGCACCUGAAGCUGCAGCGUCCCCUGUAUGAGUGAUGAACCUUUGGCAUAGGAGCGCCCCGGUUUCGAGAGCGGGAGUCGGUUUGGCAGCAUGGAGGACCCAGAUUCCUUUGGCUUUCCUGCUUCACCCAUGCUCUUAGCUCCAUCUCAGCGGCCAACACCCUGGGAAGGAGCACCACACAGGAAGGGGCUGUGCAUUUCAACUAGUUCUACCCCCAGCUGUUAAGACACCGGGCAAGACGCCCAGGGAAACAAGGUUUUGCCUGUAAACUGAAAAGAAGAGCGUCGGGAGGAAAUACCAGGGAUAAUUUGAAGUGGGCAGCUGAAGAAAUCCAGGCUGUCAACACCUUCGAUGAAAAGAACUACUUGGAGUGCCACCGUGGGUCCACCCCCGAGUGGGGGGUGGGGAGGGGUGGGCUAUGGUUGGGAAGCUUUCUGGAGGCCUCAUGCUGGGACAUCAGGUGGCUCACCCCCAACAAGCUGAAACCGGAUAUUGCUGCCAAGUUCCUUGGAAGGCUCAACUUUGUUGCCCUUGAAAAUUUGUAUCUGUAAAAAGGCAGGGUGGGCCUGGUGUGAUGGCGCACGCCUUUAAUCCCAGCACUCGGGAGGCAGAGGCAGGCGGAUUUCUGAGUUCAAGGCCAGCCUGGUCUACAAAGUGAGUUCCAGAGCCAGAGCUAUACAGAAAAAAACCUGUCUCAAAAAAACCAAACCAAACCAAACCAAAACAAAACAGAACAAAAAGGCAGGGUGGCCUGGGGACUGAGGGUGGGUUCUGGGUUUAGGAUGCUCACACCAGUGCAUGGGACUUGCACCAUUACUGUUAGCAUUUCUUCUAGGCUCCACUCCACAGUUACCUGGCAAUAGCCAGGU